GCUGGCAUGGUGGUGUGUACCUGUAGUCCCAGCCACUCAGGAGGCUGAGGCAGGAGGAUCAAAAUCUGGGCUGCACUGCACUAUGCCUGUUGAGAAUCCUUACUGAAUCUGGCAUUAACAUGGUCACCCCUAGGAGCAGUGAACCACCAGGUUGCCCAAGAAGGGAUGAGCCAGCCCAGGUUGGAAACAGAGGAGGUCAAAAUUCCUGUGUUGAUCAAUUACUGAGAUCAAACCUGUGACUAGCCAUUGUACUCCAGGGUGGGCAACAUAAUGAGACCCCAUCUCUC
Molecule: unclassified non-coding RNA, 287 nt
Organism: Callithrix jacchus (white-tufted-ear marmoset)
Lineage: Eukaryota; Metazoa; Chordata; Mammalia; Primates; Cebidae
Rfam family: Metazoan signal recognition particle RNA
About the family: The signal recognition particle (SRP) is a universally conserved ribonucleoprotein. It is involved in the co-translational targeting of proteins to membranes.
Source: Ensembl